This 873-nucleotide ribosomal RNA is filed under the name uncultured bacterium. Its description in RNAcentral is "bacterial SSU rRNA". It matches the Rfam family "Bacterial small subunit ribosomal RNA", at positions 615 to 1502 of the family's 1533-position model. The record is from RNAcentral.
UUAAAAUUGCAGUUGAUACUGGCGUCCUGNAGUGCGGUUGAGGUGUGCGGAAUUCGUGGUGUAGCGGUGAAAUGCUUAGAUAUCACGAAGAACUCCGAUUGCGAAGGCAGCACACUAAGCCGUAACUGACGUUCAUGCUCGAAAGUGUGGGUAUCAAACAGGAUUAGAUACCCUGGUAGUCCACACGGUAAACGAUGGAUACUCGCUGUUGGCGAUAUACUGUCAGCGGCUUAGCGAAAGCGUUAAGUAUCCCACCUGGGGAGUACGCCGGCAACGGUGAAACUCAAAGGAAUUGACGGGGGCCCGCACAAGCGGAGGAACAUGUGGUUUAAUUCGAUGAUACGCGAGGAACCUUACCCGGGCUUAAAUUGCAAAGGAAUGAUUUGGAAACAGGUCAGUCUUCGGACCUUUGUGAAGGUGCUGCAUGGUUGUCGUCAGCUCGUGCCGUGAGGUGUCGGCUUAAGUGCCAUAACGAGCGCAACCCUCGCCGCCAGUUACUAACAGUUAAAGCUGAGGACUCUGGCGGGACUGCCAUCGUAAGAUGUGAGGAAGGUGGGGAUGACGUCAAAUCAGCACGGCCCUUACGUCCGGGGCUACACACGUGUUACAAUGGGCGGUACAGAAGGCAGCUACCUGGCGACAGGAUGCCAAUCCCUAAAGCCGCUCUCAGUUCGGACUGGAGUCUGCAACCCGACUCCACGAAGCUGGAUUCGCUAGUAAUCGCGCAUCAGCCACGGCGCGGUGAAUACGUUCCCGGGCCUUGUACACACCGCCCGUCAAGCCAUGAAAGCCGGGGGUACCUGAAGUGCGUAACCGCAAGGAGCGCCCUAGGGUAAAACCGGUAAUUGGGGCUAAGUCGUAACAAGGUAACCA